UAAAACCAAAUAUAAAAUUUUCUAUUUAUAACAUCAUAUCAACACUCAAAAAAUUUCUAAUUUUAAAUUUUUAAAUUAAAAAUACUCAACCAAUUUUACUUCUUCCUUUCCAAUAUAAAUACCCUUUACUUCUUUUUCUUACCUACUCUAACUAAAACUUCCAAUACCAUAUUAAACAACAAUAAUAAAAAUAAACAUCAAUAUCAUAUCCUAAAUCUCAAAAAAAAUAUAACUAACAAAUUUUCCCUACUCAAUAUAAUACUAA
This 265-nucleotide unclassified non-coding RNA is filed under the name Hevea brasiliensis (rubber tree). The record is from RNAcentral. Lineage: Eukaryota; Viridiplantae; Streptophyta; Magnoliopsida; Malpighiales; Euphorbiaceae.